This 425-nucleotide ribosomal RNA is filed under the name uncultured bacterium. RNAcentral's name for it is "partial 16S ribosomal RNA". It matches the Rfam family "Bacterial small subunit ribosomal RNA", at positions 354 to 796 of the family's 1533-position model. The record is from RNAcentral.
GUGGGGAAUCUUGCGCAAUGGGCGAAAGCCUGACGCAGCCAUGCCGCGUGAAUGAUGAAGGUCUUAGGAUUGUAAAAUUCUUUCACCGGGGAAGAUAAUGACGGUACCCGGAGAAGAAGCUCCGGCUAACUUCGUGCGAGCAGCCGCGGUACUACGAAGGGGGCUAGCGUUGCUAGGAAUUACUGGGCGUAAAGGGCGCGUAGGCGGACAGCUUAGUCAGAGGUGAAAGCCCAGGGCUCAACCUUGGAAUUGCCUUUGAUACUGGCUGUCUUGAGGUGGGGAGAGGUGAGGGGAACUCCGAGUGUAGAGGGGAAAUUCGUAGAUAUUCGGAAGAACACCAGUGGCGAAGGCGACUCACUGGCCCAAUACUGACGCUGAGGCGCGAAAGCGUGGGGAGCAAACAGGAUUAGAAACCCGAGUAGUCC